AGUGAACGCUGGCGGUAGGCCUAACACAUGCAAGUCGAACGGCAGCACAGUAAGAGCUUGCUCUUACGGGUGGCGAGUGGCGGACGAGUGAGGAAUACAUCGGAAUCUACUUUUUCGUGGGGAUAACGUAGGGAAACUUACGCUAAUACCGCAUACGACCUACGGGUGAAAGCAGGGGAUCUUCGGACCUUGCGCGAUUGAAUGAGCCGAUGUCGGAUUAGCUAGUUGGCGGGGUAAAGGCCCACCAAGGCGACGAUCCGUAGCUGGUCUGAGAGGAUGAUCAGCCACACUGGAACUGAGACACGGUCCAGACUCCUACGGGAGGCAGCAGUGGGGAAUAUUGGACAAUGGGCGCAAGCCUGAUCCAGCCAUACCGCGUGGGUGAAGAAGGCCUUCGGGUUGUAAAGCCCUUUUGUUGGGAAAGAAAAGCAGCAGGUUAAUACCCCGCUGUUCUGACGGUACCCAAAGAAUAAGCACCGGCUAACUUCGUG
RNAcentral lists this ribosomal RNA (491 nucleotides) under uncultured bacterium. RNAcentral's name for it is "partial 16S ribosomal RNA". It matches the Rfam family "Bacterial small subunit ribosomal RNA", at positions 29 to 507 of the family's 1533-position model. The record is from RNAcentral.